Molecule: transfer RNA, 85 nt
Filed under: Mesorhizobium sp. J18
Lineage: Bacteria; Pseudomonadati; Pseudomonadota; Alphaproteobacteria; Hyphomicrobiales; Phyllobacteriaceae
Description: tRNA-Leu
Rfam family: tRNA
About the family: Transfer RNA (tRNA) molecules are approximately 80 nucleotides in length. Their secondary structure includes four short double-helical elements and three loops (D, anti-codon, and T loops).
Source: RNAcentral
GCUGGCGUGGCGAAACUGGUAAACGCAGCGGACUUAAAAUCCGCCGUCUUGCGACUUACGGGUUCAAGUCCCGUCGCCAGCACCA